This 332-nucleotide ribosomal RNA is filed under the name uncultured Dyella sp. Its description in RNAcentral is "bacterial SSU rRNA". It matches the Rfam family "Bacterial small subunit ribosomal RNA", at positions 568 to 898 of the family's 1533-position model. Lineage: Bacteria; Pseudomonadati; Pseudomonadota; Gammaproteobacteria; Lysobacterales; Rhodanobacteraceae. The record is from RNAcentral.
UGCGUAGGCGGUUGGUUAAGUCUGUCGUGAAAGCCCUGGGCUCAACCUGGGAAUGGCGAUGGAUACUGGCUAGCUAGAGUGUGAUAGAGGAUGGCGGAAUUCCCGGUGUAGCGGUGAAAUGCGUAGAGAUCGGGAGGAACAUCCGUGGCGAAGGCGGCCAUCUGGAUCAACACUGACGCUGAGGCACGAAAGCGUGGGGAGCAAACAGGAUUAGAUACCCUGGUAGUCCACGCCCUAAACGAUGCGAACUGGAUGUUGGGCUCAACUCGGAGCUCAGUGUCGAAGCUAACGCGUUAAGUUCGCCGCCUGGGGAGUACGGUCGCAAGACUGAA